Molecule: long non-coding RNA, 222 nt
Filed under: Elaeis guineensis (African oil palm)
Lineage: Eukaryota; Viridiplantae; Streptophyta; Magnoliopsida; Arecales; Arecaceae
Description: long non-coding RNA (EGUI_LNC028443)
Source: RNAcentral
CUCUAAUGGAUCCUCCUCCUAUUGCCGUAGUCCUCUUUAAAUAGGGCUCCUCUCAGCAUCCAAAAUAUAAAGAAAUAGUGUGAAAUCAGCAUCCAAACCAUGUGGAACGUCAUAGCCCUUCGAUCAGGAUUAAACAGCUUCAAAAUGUCUCAAAAUCAGCUUAGAUCAGGUCGAAAACCACCGCAACCAUCGAAUCUUAGCUCAAAUUGACUAUCAUCUGUC